Molecule: unclassified non-coding RNA, 349 nt
Filed under: soil metagenome
Description: partial contains 5.8S ribosomal RNA, internal transcribed spacer 2, and large subunit ribosomal RNA
Rfam family: 5.8S ribosomal RNA (bases 1-121)
Source: RNAcentral
GAUGAAGAACGCAGCGAAAUGCGAUAAGUAAUGCGAAUUGCAGAAUUUCCGUGAGUCAUCGAAUCUUUGAACGCACAUUGCGCCCCCUGGUAUUCCGGGGGGCAUGCCUGUCCGAGCGUCAUUGCUGCCCUCAAGCACGGCUUGUGUGUUGGGCCGCCGUCCCCGGUUUCCCCCGGGGACGGGCCCGAAAGGCAGCGGCGGCACCGCGUCCGAUCCUCGAGCGUAUGGGGCUUUGUCACCCGCUCUGUAGGCCCGGCCGGCGCCAGCCGACACCCAACUUUAUUUCUAAGGUUGACCUCGGAUCAGGUAGGGAUACCCGCUGAACUUAAGCAUAUCAAUAAGCGGAGGA